Molecule: ribosomal RNA, 574 nt
Filed under: Staphylococcus aureus
Lineage: Bacteria; Bacillati; Bacillota; Bacilli; Caryophanales; Staphylococcaceae
Description: bacterial SSU rRNA
Rfam family: Bacterial small subunit ribosomal RNA
Source: RNAcentral
ACCUUACCAAAUCUUGACAUCCUUUGACAACUCUAGAGAUAGAGCCUUCCCCUUCGGGGGACAAAGUGACAGGUGGUGCAUGGUUGUCGUCAGCUCGUGUCGUGAGAUGUUGGGUUAAGUCCCGCAACGAGCGCAACCCUUAAGCUUAGUUGCCAUCAUUAAGUUGGGCACUCUAAGUUGACUGCCGGUGACAAACCGGAGGAAGGUGGGGAUGACGUCAAAUCAUCAUGCCCCUUAUGAUUUGGGCUACACACGUGCUACAAUGGACAAUACAAAGGGUAGCGAAACCGCGAGGUCAAGCAAAUCCCAUAAAGUUGUUCUCAGUUCGGAUUGUAGUCUGCAACUCGACUACAUGAAGCUGGAAUCGCUAGUAAUCGUAGAUCAGCAUGCUACGGUGAAUACGUUCCCGGGUCUUGUACACACCGCCCGUCACACCACGAGAGUUUGUAACACCCGAAGCCGGUGGAGUAACCUUUUAGGAGCUAGCCGUCGAAGGUGGGACAAAUGAUUGGGGUGAAGUCGUAACAAGGUAGCCGUAUCGGAAGGUGCGGCUGGAUCACCUCCUUUCUAAGGA